AUGCAUGGUCUCUUUCUAUUCUCUUUCAGUGGAAAGCUAAAUAUGGCCCAGUACCUGCAGGGAUGCCUCACCUCCUCUACUUACACUCUGAGCCAUCCAGACACAGGUUACCUUUUGCCUGGGAACUAUACAGCCCCCUUCAUAUAUGUAGGUGUGUCAGGAGACCUUCCUAAGAUGACAGGUCAUUGGAGAGCACAUACAACAGAGAAAAUGGGACCAAGUUGACCUUCUCCAGCAACUUGAGCAGACUAUUUGGUGCAAGAAUGGAACUGGAUUGGACUUGGAAUCCAAUAAAUAUUGAGCUGGGUUUGUUCUAAUGUGCUUU
RNAcentral lists this long non-coding RNA (325 nucleotides) under Cyanistes caeruleus (blue tit). RNAcentral describes it as "lncRNA (ENSCCEG00000008818.1)". Lineage: Eukaryota; Metazoa; Chordata; Aves; Passeriformes; Paridae. The record is from RNAcentral.